RNAcentral lists this ribosomal RNA (469 nucleotides) under uncultured bacterium. RNAcentral describes it as "partial 16S ribosomal RNA". It matches the Rfam family "Bacterial small subunit ribosomal RNA", at positions 28 to 508 of the family's 1533-position model. The record is from RNAcentral.
GACGAACGCUGGCGGCGUGCUUAACACAUGCAAGUCGAACGGAAAGGCCCUGCUUUUGUGGGGUGCUCGAGUGGCGAACGGGUGAGUAACACGUGAGUAACCUGCCCUUGACUUUGGGAUAACUUCAGGAAACUGGGGCUAAUACCGGAUAGGAGCUCCUGCUGCAUGGUGGGGGUUGGAAAGUUUCGGCGGUUGGGGAUGGACUCGCGGCUUAUCAGCUUGUUGGUGGGGUAGUGGCUUACCAAGGCUUUGACGGGUAGCCGGCCUGAGAGGGUGACCGGGCACAUUGGGACUGGGAUUCGGCCCAGACUCCUACGGGAGGCAGCAGUGGGGAAUAUUGCACCAUGGGCGGAAGCCUGAUGCAGCAACGCCGCGUGCGGGAUGACGGCCUUCGGGUUGUAAACCGCUUUCGCCUGUGGCGAAGCGUGAGUGACGGUAAUGGGUAAAGAAGCACCGGCUAACUACGUGC